UACGGAGGGUGCAAGCGUUAUCCGGAUUCACUGGGUUUAAAGGGUGCGUAGGUGGGCAGAUAAGUCAGUGGUGAAAUCCCCGAGCUUAACUCGGGAACUGCCAUGGAUACUAUUUGUCUUGAAUAUUGUGGAGGUAAGCGGAAUAUGUCAUGUAGCGGUGAAAUGCUUAGAUAUGACAUAGAACACCAAUUGCGAAGGCAGCUUACUACACAGUUAUUGACGCUGAGGCACGAAAGCGUGGGGAUCAAACAGG
RNAcentral lists this ribosomal RNA (253 nucleotides) under uncultured bacterium. RNAcentral's name for it is "partial 16S ribosomal RNA". It matches the Rfam family "Bacterial small subunit ribosomal RNA", at positions 524 to 776 of the family's 1533-position model. The record is from RNAcentral.